RNAcentral lists this ribosomal RNA (429 nucleotides) under uncultured crenarchaeote. RNAcentral's name for it is "bacterial SSU rRNA". It matches the Rfam family "Archaeal small subunit ribosomal RNA", at positions 46 to 449 of the family's 1478-position model. The record is from RNAcentral. Lineage: Archaea; Thermoproteati; Thermoproteota.
UAGCCAUGCGAGUUGAGCGUUUCUUGGCCAUAGUAGAAACGCAGCAUACGGCUCAGUAACACGUGGCUAACCUGCCCUUGAGACGAGGAUAACCCCGGAAACCUGGGGAUAAUCCGCGAUAGAUGAAAGCGCCUGGAAUGGUCUUUCGUCCAAAAGGUGUUAGGACCAUGCUUCCUGACAUCGCUCAAGGAUGGGGCCGCGACUGAUCAGGUUGUUGGCGGGGAAAAGGCCCACCAAGCCUAUAACCAGUACGGGCCAUGAUAGUGGCAGCCCGGAGAUGGGCACUGAGAUAAGGGCCCAGGCCCUACGGGGCGCAGCAGGCGCGAAAACUUCGCAAUGCGCGAAAGCGUGACGAGGUCAGCCCGAGUGCCGUCCGCUGAGGACGGCUUUUCUUUGGUUUAAGGAGCCGGGGGAAUAAGCGGGGGGGCA